UUCUUAGGUGUCACAUCACUAAUGACUUCUUGAUCCACAGCCUAUGGAAAUUGGUAAAAGGACUUGAAUCCACCACGAAAUUGAUGGAGGCAGAGGGCCAAUCCCUCUUAAUGGUUGCCUGCUUGGAUCUACCUGUCCCCAUUCAUGAGCUUGUGAAACUGUGCAGGCUAACCAUCUCCUCUUCUGUUAAUCCAUGCCCCCUGCCAGCUACAAUGAUACCUAGCGUUUCUCCG
This 233-nucleotide unclassified non-coding RNA is filed under the name Hevea brasiliensis (rubber tree). Lineage: Eukaryota; Viridiplantae; Streptophyta; Magnoliopsida; Malpighiales; Euphorbiaceae. The record is from RNAcentral.